GACGAACGCUGGCGGCGUGCUUAACACAUGCAAGUCGAACGAAGUGGCGAACGGGUGAGUAACGUGUAAUCAACCUGCCCUUCAGGGGGGGACAACAGUAGAAAACGGCUGCUAAUGCGGCAUACGGAAGGAGGGGAUUGCGUCGGAUUAGCUAGUUGGAGGGUGAACGGCCCACCAAGGCGAUGAUCCGUAGCCGGUCUGAGAGGAUGACCGGCCACACUGGGACUGAGACACGGCCCAGACUCCUACGGGAGGCAGCAGUGGGGAAUCUUCCGCAAUGGACGAAAGUCUGACGGAGCAACGCCGCGUGAGUGAAGAAGGUUUUCGGAUCGUAAAACUCUGUUGUUAGAGAAGCGGUAUCUAACCAGAAAGCCACGGCUAACUACGUGCCAGCAGCCGCGGUAAUUC
This 408-nucleotide ribosomal RNA is filed under the name uncultured bacterium. RNAcentral's name for it is "partial 16S ribosomal RNA". It matches the Rfam family "Bacterial small subunit ribosomal RNA", at positions 28 to 526 of the family's 1533-position model. The record is from RNAcentral.